RNAcentral lists this ribosomal RNA (211 nucleotides) under uncultured bacterium. RNAcentral describes it as "partial 16S ribosomal RNA". It matches the Rfam family "Bacterial small subunit ribosomal RNA", at positions 524 to 732 of the family's 1533-position model. The record is from RNAcentral.
UACGUAGGGCGCAAGCGUUAUCCGGAAUUAUUGGGCGUAAAGAGCUUGUAGGCGGUUUGUCGCGUCUGCUGUGAAAAUCCGGGGCUCAACCCCGGACUUGCAGUGGGUACGGGCAGACUAGAGUGUGGGUAAGGGGAGACUGGAAUUCCUGGUGUAGCGGUGAAAUGCGCAGAUAUCGGGAGGAACACCGGUGGCGAAGGCGGUUCUCUGG